RNAcentral lists this ribosomal RNA (634 nucleotides) under uncultured fungus. Its description in RNAcentral is "eukaryotic LSU rRNA". It matches the Rfam family "Eukaryotic large subunit ribosomal RNA", at positions 24 to 664 of the family's 3401-position model. The record is from RNAcentral. Lineage: Eukaryota; Fungi.
CCCGCUGAACUUAAGCAUAUCAAUAAGCGGAGGAAAAGAAACUAACAAGGAUUCCCUUAGUAACGGCGAGUGAAGAGGGAACAGCUCAAAUUUGAAAUCUGAUGGCCUACGGCUAUCCGAGUUGUAAUCUAGAGAAGUGUUUUCCGCGCUGGACCGUGUACAAGUCCUUUGGAACAAGGCGUCAUAGAGGGUGAGAAUCCCGUCUACGACACGGACUACCAGUGCUUUGUGAUACACUCUCAACGAGUCGAGUUGUUUGGGAAUGCAGCUCAAAAUGGGUGGUAAAUUCCAUCUAAAGCUAAAUACAGGCGAAAGACCGAUAGCGAACAAGUACCGUGAGGGAAAGAUGAAAAGCACUUUGGAAAGAGAGUUAAACAGUACGUGAAAUUGUUAAAAGGGAAACGAUUGAAGUCAGUCGCGUCUACUUGGACUCAGCCUUGCCUUGGCUUGGUGCAUUUCCUUGUGGACGGGCCAGUGUUCAUGUUGGUUGCUGGAAAAAGUGUAGGGGAAUGUGGCUCUUUCGGGAGUGUUAUAGCCCCUGUUCAUAUACAGUGACUGAUAUGGAGUGGUACAGCAUGCUUCGGCGGUGCUUGUGCUGGCAUAAUGGCUUUAAACGACCCGUCUUGAAACACGG